This 30-nucleotide non-coding RNA is filed under the name Mus musculus (house mouse). The record is from RNAcentral. Lineage: Eukaryota; Metazoa; Chordata; Mammalia; Rodentia; Muridae.
UGACACCUUAGAGCUUCCUAGCACUUCAGC